GUGAGGAAUAUUGCGCAAUGGAGGCAACUCUGACGCAGCCAUGCCGCGUGCAGGAAGAAGGCGCUACGCGUUGUAAACUGCUUUUAACCGGGAAGAAACCCCAGGACGUGUCCUGGGUUGACGGUACCGGAGGAAUAAGCACCGGCUAACUUCGUGCCAGCAGCCGCGGUAAUACGAAGGGUGCAAGCGUUAUCCGGAUUCAUUGGGUUUAAAGGGUGCGUAGGCGGAGCGUUAAGUCAGUGGUGAAAUCCUGCAGCUUAACUGUGGACUUGCCAUUGAUACUGGCGCUCUUGAGUGCGCUUGAAGUGGGCGGAAUGUGCCGUGUAGCGGUGAAAUGCUUAGAUAUGGCACAGAACACCAAUUGCGAAGGCAGCUCACUAAGGCGAUACUGACGCUGAGGCACGAAAGCGUGGGGAUCGAACAGGAUUAGAAACCCUGGUAGUCC
RNAcentral lists this ribosomal RNA (445 nucleotides) under uncultured bacterium. RNAcentral describes it as "partial 16S ribosomal RNA". It matches the Rfam family "Bacterial small subunit ribosomal RNA", at positions 354 to 796 of the family's 1533-position model. The record is from RNAcentral.